RNAcentral lists this ribosomal RNA (253 nucleotides) under uncultured microorganism. RNAcentral describes it as "partial 16S ribosomal RNA". It matches the Rfam family "Bacterial small subunit ribosomal RNA", at positions 524 to 776 of the family's 1533-position model. The record is from RNAcentral.
AACGUAGGGGGCGAGCGUUGUCCGGAAUUACUGGGCGUAAAGAGCUCGUAGGCGGUAGUUCAAGUCAGGUGUGAAAUCCGACGGCUUAACCGGAGGACUGCACCUGAUACUGGGCUGCUAGAGGUAAGGAGAGGAAGGUGGAAUUCCUGGUGUAGCAGUGAAAUGCGUAGAGAUCAGGAGGAACACCGAUGGCGAAGGCAGCCCCCUGGGCCUGUACUGACGCUCAUGCACGAAAGCGUGGGGAGCAAACAGG